RNAcentral lists this transfer RNA (73 nucleotides) under Mus musculus (house mouse). RNAcentral's name for it is "tRNA-Tyr (GTA) (tRNA-Tyr-GTA-5-1)". It matches the Rfam family "tRNA". From Rfam's summary of the family: Transfer RNA (tRNA) molecules are approximately 80 nucleotides in length. RNAcentral also lists the same sequence under 1 other name. The record is from RNAcentral. Lineage: Eukaryota; Metazoa; Chordata; Mammalia; Rodentia; Muridae.
CCUUCGAUAGCUCAGUUGGUAGAGCGGAGGACUGUAGAUCCUUAGGUCGCUGGUUCGAAUCCGGCUCGAAGAA